UUUAGAAUAGCUCAGUUGGUAGAGUAGAAGGCUCUUAAUCUCAGGGUUGGGGGUUUGAGCCCCACGUUGGGUAAAA
This is a non-coding RNA of Podarcis lilfordi (Lilford's wall lizard), 76 nucleotides long. The record is from the annotation of a GenBank genome assembly. Lineage: Eukaryota; Metazoa; Chordata; Lepidosauria; Squamata; Lacertidae.